This 1446-nucleotide ribosomal RNA is filed under the name Macrobrachium lanchesteri. RNAcentral describes it as "SSU rRNA". It matches the Rfam family "Eukaryotic small subunit ribosomal RNA", at positions 417 to 1804 of the family's 1831-position model. Lineage: Eukaryota; Metazoa; Arthropoda; Malacostraca; Decapoda; Palaemonidae. The record is from RNAcentral.
CAAGGAAGGCAGCAGGCACGCAAAUUACCCAAUCCCAGCUCGGGGAGGUAGUGACGAAAAAUAACAAUGCGGGACUCUUCCGAGUCUGCGUAAUUGGAAUGAGCACACUUUAAAUCCUUUAGCAACAACCAAUUGGAGGGCAAGUCUGGUGCCAGCAGCCGCGGUAAUUCCAGCUCCAAUAGCGUAUAUUAAAGUUGUUGCGGUUAAAAAGCUCGUAGUUGGAGGUCAGUUCCGGACUGGUGUGGGAGGUCACCGCCCGGUGCUUCCCCGUCAGGCUCCGAACAGCUUCCGUGAGUGGAAGCCAAGCCGGUUCUGCCGGGGUGCUCUUUACCGAGUGUCCCGCGCGGCCGGCCAGUUCACCUUGAAUAAAUGAGAGUGCUCAAAGCAGGCUACUCUGGAAUACAAUGCCCGAAUGUUACCUGCAUGGAAUGAUGGAAGAUGAUCUCGGUUCCAUUUUGUUGGUGGUGGGAGCCAGAGGUAAUGAUAAAGAGGGACUGUCGGGGGCAUCCGUACUACGACGCGAGAGGUGAAAUUCAGUGACCGUCGUAGGACGAACAACAGCGAAAGCAUUUGCCAAGAAUGUCUUCGUUGAUCAAGAACUAAAGUUAGAGGAUCGAAGGCGAUCAGAUACCGCCCUAGUUCUAACCCUAAACGAUGCUGACUAGCAAUUCGCCGUCGUUAUUCCCAUGACGUGGCGAGACGCCCCCGGGAAACCUCAAGUCUUUGAGUUCCGGGGGUAGUAUGGUUGCAAAAGUGAAACUUAAAGGAAUUGACGGAAGGGCACCACCAGGAGUGGAGCCUGCGGCUUAAUUUGACUCAACACGGGAAAGCUCACCAGGCCCGGACACCAGAAGGAUUGACAGAUUAAGAGCUCUUUCUCGAUUUGGUGGGUGGUGGUGCAUGGCCGUUCUUAGUUGGUGGAGUGAUUUGUCUGGUUAAUUCCGGUAACGAACGAGACUCUGGCCUACUAAAUAGUGGACGUUGGUUUUGGUGCAUGGGCCACGUUCGAUACAGUCUUCUUAGAGGGAUGAGCAGCGAGUAUAGCUGCAGGAGAUUGAGCAAUAACAGGUCUGUGAUGCCCUUAGAUGUCCUGGGCCGCACGCGCGCUACACUGAAUGGGUUAGCGGGUUGUCCUUCUCCGAGAGGAGCGGGAAAUCGCGUGAAAACCAUUCGUGAUAGGGAUUGGGGCUUGCAAUUGUUUCCCAUGAACGAGGAAUUCCCAGUAAGCGCAAGUCAUCAGCUUGCGUUGAUUAAGUCCCUGCCCUUUGUACACACCGCCCGUCGCUACUACCGAUUGAAUGAUUUAGUGAGGCCUUCGGACUGGCGGUCUUGGACUGGGUCGGCGGGUUUGUUCCAGCAAUGGGAUGCCGUCGACUCGCCUAGACGAGCCGGAAAGAUGUCCAAACUUGAUCAUUUAGAGGAAGUAAAAGUCGUAACAAGGUUUCC